AUGCCGGCCCAACAUGGCGGCCUUCUCUCCCCAGCCCACCAGCAGCACCUGAGGAGGAUGCUGGGAGAGCUGAGGGUGCACAAUGCGCAUGCUCCUGAGCCCAAAUCUCGGGAGCCCGCUGGAAUCUCACGGAGUCUGCACGGUGGCCGCCUGGGCUCAGUGGGCGGGGACUUCGCAGGAGAAGCAGCCGAGGGAAGAGCCGCAAGAUGGGUACGAGGGAUGGAGGGGUCCUGUGGGCGGUUAUGGGUGGCCUGCUGCGCUGAAAUCUUAAGAAUGUCCAAUGUAACAAGAAAUGCAACAGAAGUAAGUAGUCUAAGGAUGCCUGGCUGGCUCACUAGGAAGAACAUGGGACUCUUGAUCUUGGGUUUGUAAGUUUGAGCCCCACGUUUGGCGUAGAGAUUACUUACAAAUAAAAUCUUAAAAAAGAAAAAGAAGAUGAAUAAG
RNAcentral lists this long non-coding RNA (444 nucleotides) under Vulpes vulpes (red fox). Its description in RNAcentral is "lncRNA (ENSVVUG00000001892.1)". Lineage: Eukaryota; Metazoa; Chordata; Mammalia; Carnivora; Canidae. The record is from RNAcentral.